This 72-nucleotide transfer RNA is filed under the name Candidatus Wildermuthbacteria bacterium RIFCSPHIGHO2_01_FULL_45_20. RNAcentral's name for it is "tRNA-Arg". It matches the Rfam family "tRNA". From Rfam's summary of the family: Transfer RNA (tRNA) molecules are approximately 80 nucleotides in length. Their secondary structure includes four short double-helical elements and three loops (D, anti-codon, and T loops). The record is from RNAcentral. Lineage: Bacteria; Candidatus Wildermuthiibacteriota. RNAcentral also lists the same sequence under 2 other names.
GUCCCCGUAGCUUAAUGGAUAGAGUUCUGGGCUUCGGACCCAGCGGUGGGGGUUCGAAUCCCUCCGGGGACA